CAGUAGCCGCGGUAAUACGUAGGUCCCGAGCGUUGUCCGGAUUUAUUGGGCGUAAAGCGAGCGCAGGCGGUUAGAUAAGUCUGAAGUUAAAGGCUGUGGCUUAACCAUAGUACGCUUUGGAAACUGUUUAACCUGAGUGCAAGAGGGGAGAGUGGAAUUCCAUGUGUAGCGGUGAAAUGCGUAGAUAUAUGGAGGAACACCGGUGGCGAAAGCGGCUCUCUGGCUUGUAACUGACGCUGAGGCUCGAAAGCGUGGGGAGCAAACAGGAUUAGAUACCCCCGUAGUCCCUGUCUCUUAUACA
This 301-nucleotide ribosomal RNA is filed under the name uncultured bacterium. Its description in RNAcentral is "partial 16S ribosomal RNA". It matches the Rfam family "Bacterial small subunit ribosomal RNA", at positions 509 to 808 of the family's 1533-position model. The record is from RNAcentral.